CGUGUAGGCGGUCCGGUGAGUCAGAUGUGAAAGCCCUGGGCUCAACCCAGGAAGUGCAUUUGAAACUACCAGACUUGAGUACGGGAGAGGAGGGGGGAAUUCCCGGUGUAGAGGUGAAAUUCGUAGAUAUCGGGAGGAAUACCAGUGGCGAAGGCGCCCCUCUGGACCGAUACUGACGCUGAGACGCGAAAGCGUGGGGAGCAAACA
Molecule: ribosomal RNA, 207 nt
Filed under: uncultured bacterium
Lineage: Bacteria
Description: partial 16S ribosomal RNA
Rfam family: Bacterial small subunit ribosomal RNA
Source: RNAcentral